Molecule: ribosomal RNA, 602 nt
Filed under: Fusiformiascus pulvinata
Lineage: Eukaryota; Fungi; Ascomycota; Sordariomycetes; Xylariales; Diatrypaceae
Description: eukaryotic LSU rRNA
Rfam family: Eukaryotic large subunit ribosomal RNA
Source: RNAcentral
UUGACCUCGGAUCAGGUAGGAAUACCCGCUGAACUUAAGCAUAUCAAUAAGCGGAGGAAAAGAAACCAACAGGGAUUGCCCUAGUAACGGCGAGUGAAGCGGCAACAGCUCAAAUUUGAAAUCUGGCCUUCGGGUCCGAGUUGUAAUUUGUAGAGGAUGCUUUUGGUGAAGUGCCUUCCGAGUUCCUUGGAACAGGACGCCUUAGAGGGUGAGAGCCCCGUACGGUUGGACACUAAGCCUCUGUAAAGCUCCUUCGACGAGUCGAGUAGUUUGGGAAUGCUGCUCUAAAUGGGAGGUAAAUUUCUUCUAAAGCUAAAUACCGGCCAGAGACCGAUAGCGCACAAGUAGAGUGAUCGAAAGAUGAAAAGUACUUUGAAAAGAGGGUUAAAUAGCACGUGAAAUUGUUGAAAGGGAAGCGUUUAUGACCAGACCUUUGUCUGGCGGAUCAUCCGGUGUUCUUCACCGGUGCACUUCGCCAGGCUCAGGCCAGCAUCGAUUUCUGUAGGGGGAUAAAGACCAUGGGAACGUAGCUCUCUUCGGGGAGUGUUAUAGCCCUAGGUGUAAUACCUCUACGGGGAUCGAGGUUCGCGCUCUGCAAGGAU